CCGAGUUUACAGCUCCCAAACCCCUGUGAACAUACCUAUACGUUGCCUCGGCGGAUCAGCCCGCGCCCCGUAAAAAGGGACGGCCCGCCCGAGGACCCCUAAACUCUGCUUUUAGUGGAACUUCUGAGUAAAACAAACAAAUAAAUCA
Molecule: unclassified non-coding RNA, 148 nt
Filed under: soil metagenome
Description: partial internal transcribed spacer 1
Source: RNAcentral